CGUACCGAAAGGUGCGCUAAUACCGGAUAAUACUGAAUGACUACUGUUAUUUAGUCAAAGAAGGCUUCUGUUUACAUGCUUUUGCUGAAGGAUGAGUCCGCGUACCAUUAGCUAGUUGGUAGGGUAAUGGCCUACCAAGGCGACGAUGGUUAGCUGGUCUGAGAGGAUGAUCAGCCACACUGGAACUGAGACACGGUCCAGACUCCUACGGGAGGCAGCAGUGAGGAAUAUUGCGCAAUGGGGGAAACCCUGACGCAGCAACGCCGCGUGAGUGAGGAAGGUUUUCGGACCGUAAAGCUCUGUCGAGCGGGAAGAAAUGCAUGGUGGCUAAUAUCCAUCAUGCUUGACGGUACCGCUAAAGGAAGCACCGGCUAACUCCGUGCCAGCAGCCGCGGUAAUACGGGGGGUGCGAGGUUGUUCGGAAUUAUUGGGCGUAAAGAGCGUGUAGGCGGCUGAAUAAGUCAGAUGUGAAAUCCCUGGGCUUAACCCAGGACGUGCAUUUGAAACUAUUCGGCUAGAGUAGGGGAGAGGAAAGUGGAAUUCCUGGUGUAGAGGUGAAAUUCGUAGAUAUCAGGAGGAACACCGGUGGCGAAGGCGACUUUCUGGCCCUAUACUGACGCUGAGACGCGAGAGCGUGGGUAGCAAACAGGAUUAGAUACCCUGGUAGUCCUAACCUUAAACGGUGUACACUUGGUGUGCGAGGAAUUGUCCCUUUGCGCGCCGCAGCUAACGCGAUAAGUGUACCGCCUGGGGAGUACGGUCGCAAGAUUAAAACUCAAAGGAAUUGACGGGGACCCGCACAAGCGGUGGAGCAUGUGGCUUAAUUCGAUG
This 831-nucleotide ribosomal RNA is filed under the name uncultured delta proteobacterium. Its description in RNAcentral is "bacterial SSU rRNA". It matches the Rfam family "Bacterial small subunit ribosomal RNA", at positions 147 to 956 of the family's 1533-position model. The record is from RNAcentral. Lineage: Bacteria; Deltaproteobacteria.